This is a long non-coding RNA of Xiphophorus hellerii (green swordtail), 1807 nucleotides long. RefSeq lists it as uncharacterized. The transcript has 2 exons. The record is from RefSeq and is a predicted model, not a curated record. Lineage: Eukaryota; Metazoa; Chordata; Actinopteri; Cyprinodontiformes; Poeciliidae.
CUGUAGUCAGCCAGAAACAUGCAGGAUCUCAGGCCCACACUCAGUUACUUAAAUAACAAACCUUUAUUAUAACACAAAGCUUUAUUAUAAUAGCAAAACACAAAGUUCAGCCUGCAGAUGACUGAAUUAUUUUGCCCUCUGACACAUUACAGCAGUGGAAUUAGAUCAUCCAUGCAUUUGUUUUUUGCAUUAUAUAAAUAAACCAAUAUUAAUAAAAACAUUUCUAGAUUGUGCAAAAAUGCUGCUGUGGAACAGAAUCAGACUACAGCAGUCAACAUUCACAUGCAGUCUGACUAUGAAGCUAAUUAAUAUUAAUUAUGUGAAUGAAGUGAAUCAUCAGGUGGGCAGAAUGAGUGUGCAGGCCUGUUGAUCCGUUUACAUUUUAAUGCCAGGAGGAGAUACCUAGGAGUCCAGAGCAGCCAAACUGCUCACAUAAUGUUUGUUACAUAUACUAAAAACCUAUUUGUGAAGUUUGUUAAUAAAAGGCUGCAAUCAACUCUUGUAAACACAGAUCUAACUCGUUAUAACCCUAAAUUCAGCAUUUUUAUUCUUUUUCUUUUGUUCUUCAGGGUGAAAUUCAGGUUUAGAAUGUCAGAAUCCACCAAACGAAGCAAUAAUGACGUUUAUUACUGUAUAUCAUGGUCUGCAGGUUAACACUUUACAUCUGUACAUAAACUUUGAUGGGAAUGUUUUAAAAUGAGGCUUUUUGUUUUGUUUUUUAUGUCCAUUGCUUCAAGCUGGAUGUUGUUUUUUCCUCCUUAUUUUCAUGGCUUGUAAAUCCCUCUGUAUAUAUUCCCCUUUUUGUAAAGAAAAGAUUUUAGCAGCGUCUCUGCUGCUGACAACAUGAAGGUGGACUCUGUGAUGUGUUCCUCCGUCAGUCUCUGAAAUGAAUUCAUAUUCAAUAAGAACCCCAGCUGCUGGCUACAGUGUGAAGAGCUUAGUGAUUUGUAGUUACAUGCGUAAGUAUGAAAAAUUCAACGUUAUAAUACUGAAUCAAAUCAAAUGAUUAUACAAUGUUUCAGAUCAUUAAACAGUGUUUAAUACCAGACAAAGAUUAUCGGAGUAAACCCAAAAGUUUGUUUUCAGACAGUUUCACUAAGAGGAAAAAGCAGGGCUGCACCAAUUUCUAUUUUCUGGUCGAUCGCCGAUCACCAAUCUUUAAAAAGCCCGACUUGCUGAUUCUGAUGUUGGCCAAUACCAAUUUUUUGUCUGAAAUGUUGCCAAAUAUUGCAAGAAAGUCACUGAGUUGGCAACAGUGGACAACUCAGACAUGACCUGGUGAGUCUGUCAGGUCAUGGAAUGUGAGCAAACAUUUUUAGACCUUUGCUGAGGAAGAUAAGAUAAUUUGAUAAAAUCAGCUUCACAUGCAAGAACCGACCAAUCAUCGAUCUCCCAAAACUAAGGAAAUCAGUGCCGAUAAAUUGGUGCACCCUACAAAUAAGCGAUCCAAACCAGCCUGGCCCUCUAGGAAAUGAGGAUCGUCCCCUUAUAAAAUCAUUAACUAACUGAUUAACUACAUUUUUUCUGUGUUGAAAAGCAACAACUGUUUAAAAAGCUUAUAUUAGCUUGUGGGAAAAUUCAUUAAAACCUCAGGUUGCAAAUGUGGUUUAAAUAAGUUAAAGGAACACAAAAAAGCACAGGUGAGCUAGAGGUCACUUCUGUCAGGAGUGGCACAUCCAGGGCUGGACUGGGACCGAGAAGCAGCCCUGCAUACGAAUGAUACACAACAUACCAGAGAAUAUAAUGUACACACUGUGUUGUUUCAAAAAUGUAAAUAAAGAGCAGCAUCCUAGAUGGAAGAAAGUAA